AACGAACGCUGGCGGCGCGCCUAAUACAUGCAAGUCGAGCGAGAAGGUGUAGCAAUACACUUGUAAAGCGGCGAACGGGUGAGGAAUACAUGGGUAAUCUACCAUCGAGUGGGGAAUAACCAGCCGAAAGGUUGGCUAAUACCGCGUACGCUUCCGAGUCUUCGGGCUUGGAAGGAAAGCCGCACUGUGAGUGCGGCGCUCUUUGAUGAGCUCAUGUCCUAUCAGCUUGUUGGUAGGGUAACGGCCUACCAAGGCUUUGACGGGUAGCUGGUCUGAGAGGACGAUCAGCCACACUGGCACUGCGACACGGGCCAGACUCCUACGGGAGGCAGCAGUAAGGAAUAUUGCGCAAUGGGCGAAAGCCUGACGCAGCGACGCCGCGUGGGGGAUGAAGGUCUUCGGAUUGUAAACCCCUUUCGGGAGGGAAGAUGGAGCGAGCAAUCGUUUGGACGGUACCUCCAGAAGCAGCCACGGCCAACUUCGUGCCAGC
This 490-nucleotide ribosomal RNA is filed under the name uncultured bacterium. Its description in RNAcentral is "bacterial SSU rRNA". It matches the Rfam family "Bacterial small subunit ribosomal RNA", at positions 29 to 512 of the family's 1533-position model. The record is from RNAcentral.